AAACCAUGCAUCGGGCAUUUUCUAAUUAAUUCCUUGAAUCGCUCUCAAGCUUCAUACAAUGUCUUAUCCUCAGAUUGCCAAAAAGAUUUAAUAUUGUUCCUCAAUUU
This is a small nucleolar RNA of Gossypium raimondii (Peruvian cotton), 107 nucleotides long. It matches the Rfam family "Plant small nucleolar RNA R71". Rfam says of the family: R71 is a member of the C/D box family of snoRNAs containing the C (UGAUGA) and D (CUGA) box motifs. Multiple nearly identical copies of this snoRNA have been identified in Arabidopsis, and it is thought to function as a 2'-O-ribose methylation guide for 18S ribosomal RNA. The record is from Rfam. NCBI's taxonomy places the organism in Eukaryota, Viridiplantae, Streptophyta, Magnoliopsida, Malvales, Malvaceae.